UUAGGUAAGGGUGGAAAGGCGAGGUAAGAGCUCACCAGCAUCAUGGUGACAUGAUGGCUAUGUAAACCCCACCUGGAGCAAGGUCGAAUAGGGAAACAUAAUGGGGUAGCCCGCUCCGUUUCCGGGUGUACCGCUUGAGCUCAUUGGCAACAAUGGGCCUAGAUAGAUGAUUGCUUAAUACAGAACUCCGCUUACGGCUUAUCUCGUAAC
RNAcentral lists this RNase P RNA (210 nucleotides) under Clostridium sp. Its description in RNAcentral is "partial RNase P RNA component class A". It matches the Rfam family "Bacterial RNase P class A", at positions 144 to 367 of the family's 367-position model. From Rfam's summary of the family: Ribonuclease P (RNase P) is a ubiquitous endoribonuclease, found in archaea, bacteria and eukarya as well as chloroplasts and mitochondria. Its best characterised activity is the generation of mature 5'-ends of tRNAs by cleaving the 5'-leader elements of precursor-tRNAs. Lineage: Bacteria; Bacillati; Bacillota; Clostridia; Eubacteriales; Clostridiaceae. The record is from RNAcentral.